GUACUUACCUGGCAGGAGAGAUACCAUGAUCAUGAAGAUGGUUUUACCUGAGCAAGUCUUAUCCAUUGCCCUCUGGAUGUGCUGAGCCCUGCAAUUUCACCAAAUGUGGGAAACUUGAUUGCAUAAUUUGUGGUAGUGGGGGGUUGCAUUUGCACUUUACCCUG
Molecule: small nuclear RNA, 164 nt
Organism: Cebus imitator (Panamanian white-faced capuchin)
Lineage: Eukaryota; Metazoa; Chordata; Mammalia; Primates; Cebidae
Gene: U1
Rfam family: U1 spliceosomal RNA
About the family: U1 is a small nuclear RNA (snRNA) component of the spliceosome (involved in pre-mRNA splicing). Its 5' end forms complementary base pairs with the 5' splice junction, thus defining the 5' donor site of an intron.
Source: Ensembl